Pelobates cultripes (western spadefoot toad) is the source of this 254-nucleotide non-coding RNA. The record is from the annotation of a GenBank genome assembly. Lineage: Eukaryota; Metazoa; Chordata; Amphibia; Anura; Pelobatidae.
UCCUUCUGCUGGACACACCUCCCUUAGUCAAUCCCUUAGGAUGUAACAGAACCAGAGUGCCUCCUGGGGGAAGGGGUAUUGCAUUGGAAGGGAAUGGAGGAGGAGUUUAUCAACAACCCAACUGAUUUUGCCUUGUGAAAGGCCAUGUGCUUCACAGAGGACUCCAUUAUUGCCUUAGGGUAGAAUGGGGGCUUGAAUCCCUGUAUUAGAACACAAUAACACUUCAUUGGCAUACAGUUUGGCUGUUAAUCACA